Molecule: ribosomal RNA, 472 nt
Filed under: uncultured bacterium
Lineage: Bacteria
Description: bacterial SSU rRNA
Rfam family: Bacterial small subunit ribosomal RNA
Source: RNAcentral
AGCAACGCGCAGAACCUUACCAACCCUNGACAUCCUGUGCUACUACCAGAGAUGGUACGUUCCCUUCGGGGACGCAGUGACAGGUGCUGCAUGGCUGUCGUCAGCUCGUGUCGUGAGAUGUUCGGUUAAGUCCGGCAACGAGCGCAACCCACAUCUUUAGUUGCCAUCAGGUUAAGCUGGGCACUCUAGAGAAACUGCCCGUGAUAAGCGGGAGGAAGGUGUGGAUGACGUCAAGUCCUCAUGGCCCUUACGGGUUGGGCUACACACGUGCUACAAUGGCAGUGACAAUGGGUUAAUCCCCAAAAGCUGUCUCAGUUCGGAUUGGGGUCUGCAACUCGACCCCAUGAAGUCGGAAUCGCUAGUAAUCGCGUAACAGCAUGACGCGGUGAAUACGUUCCCGGGCCUUGUACACACCGCCCGUCACACCAUGGGAGUUGGUUCUACCCGACGACGCUGCGCUAACCCUNNGGNG